AUUGAACGCUGGCGGCAGGCCUAACACAUGCAAGUCGAGCGGAUGAAGGGAGCUUGCUCCUGGAUUCAGCGGCGGACGGGUGAGUAAUGCCUAGGAAUCUGCCUGGUAGUGGGGGAUAACGUCCGGAAACGGGCGCUAAUACCACAUACGUCCUGAUGGAGAAAGUGGGGGAUCUUCGGACCUCACGCUAUCAGAUGAGCCUAGGUCGGAUUAGCUAGUUGGUGGGGUAAAGGCCUACCAAGGCGACGAUCCGUAACUGGUCUGAGAGGAUGAUCAGUCACACUGGAACUGAGACACGGUCCAGAGUCCUACGGGAGGCAGCAGUGGGGAAUAUUGGACAAUGGGCGAAAGCCUGAUCCAGCCAUGCCGAGUGUGUGAAGAAGGUCUUCGGAUUGUAAAGCACUUUAAGUUGGGAGGAAGGGCAGUAAGUUAAUACCUUGCUGUUUUGACGUUAACAACAGAAUAAGCACCGGCUAACUUCGUG
RNAcentral lists this ribosomal RNA (484 nucleotides) under uncultured bacterium. RNAcentral's name for it is "partial 16S ribosomal RNA". It matches the Rfam family "Bacterial small subunit ribosomal RNA", at positions 30 to 507 of the family's 1533-position model. The record is from RNAcentral.